ACGCUCUUAGUUCAGUUGGUAGAACGUAGGUUUCCAAAACCUAAUGUCGAAGGUUCAAGUCCUUCAGAGUGUG
This 73-nucleotide transfer RNA is filed under the name Cliftonaea pectinata. RNAcentral's name for it is "tRNA-Trp". It matches the Rfam family "tRNA". Rfam says of the family: Transfer RNA (tRNA) molecules are approximately 80 nucleotides in length. Their secondary structure includes four short double-helical elements and three loops (D, anti-codon, and T loops). Further hydrogen bonds mediate the characteristic L-shaped molecular structure. tRNAs have two regions of fundamental functional importance: the anti-codon, which is responsible for specific mRNA codon recognition, and the 3' end, to which the tRNAs corresponding amino acid is attached (by aminoacyl-tRNA synthetases). tRNAs cope with the degeneracy of the genetic code in two manners: having more than one tRNA (with a specific anti-codon) for a particular amino acid; and 'wobble' base-pairing, i.e. permitting non-standard base-pairing at the 3rd anti-codon position. The record is from RNAcentral. Lineage: Eukaryota; Rhodophyta; Florideophyceae; Ceramiales; Rhodomelaceae.